CGGAAGCACGUGACCUCCACAUUGCCGUAAACACGCAUGGAUACCGUGGAAGUCUUGCAAGUUGAUCGCAAAGAUGCACACAUCAAUCUGGAAUUCGGGCUUAAAGCCAGAAUUGCAGGAAUGCAACACGUGUUGCAGAGGACUCUUUCACUGCCCUCUGUGCCCCACUUUCAGCCCUACUGUCAGGGCAAAGAUUGAGGAGCAUCUAAGUGUGCAUAUAAAAAAUGCUUUGCCUUUCAAAGAUAAAAUGAUAUGCCGGUGCAGGCUGCCUUGUAGGACAACAGGACACUUUCACCGCCCUGUCUGUAAGAUUACAAUCAUACGGCGUGGGGAUAUGGCAAGGCAUUUAUUGUCUUGUCAGCAUUCUUCAAUGCCAAGUCAGCCACCAUUAUAAGGACUGCUCCCCGCUGAACUCUCCGAGGAGACCCGUAUUCCUCCGGCAGUACUCUUCGAGGAGCCCCGUCUCCCCCCCAAGCUCUGGCAAGCUAUUUGCACACUGGAGAGAGGAAGCCAAAGCUGUGCUUGAAGGACAACACGUGCCCAUUUUCAGACUGAAAAAGCGCAAGUUCCAGGAAGUCAGUCAGGAGCCAGCAGUUGUUGAAGAUCUGCGUCCUGCUGUGCAGUGGGUUGUCCAAAAUAAGGCACUUUUCCGUGGACACGUAACAAUGCCCAAAUAUCUGUCCUUAAAUCAAGAGGACCAGCAGAGGGUCUUAAGAGACAUGUCAGAGGAAGAAGACACUGGAGCAAGGGACUUGUUCCUCUUUGUUUUUCAGUUUGCAGAGGACAUGGAGCUCUUUUUGAAAGCAUGUGCUGAUGAGCAGGGGCUAAGGGUCAGUGCUAUGUUUGACAUGUAAUGGACAAAUGAAGGCACUGGCUGUGUUUGUUUGUUUGUUUAAUAUGUUGUUGUUGUUGUUGUUUUUUUUUGUUUUGCGUUUUGCGUAGUACAAAAUUCCAAUUAAACUUAUUUCAAAAUGUUGUUCACUUUAUUCUGUGUCCAUACUUAUAAUAAAGGAUUACAGUGUAACAGCAUUAAAUGUAAAUGUAACAGCAUUUUUUUUAAACUUGUAAUUUCAAAAUAAAAAGCUUAUUGUUGAUAUUAACAGUAAA
Molecule: long non-coding RNA, 1107 nt
Organism: Haplochromis burtoni (Burton's mouthbrooder)
Lineage: Eukaryota; Metazoa; Chordata; Actinopteri; Cichliformes; Cichlidae
Exons: 5
Source: RefSeq, a predicted model, not a curated record